UUGACUUCGCUAAUUCAUAUUUUUUUUUUCAGCGGAAGAUGUAAUAGUGUGACUCUUCACUUGGAGACAUGGUUUGAGUUUGAGGAUUCUCUGCUAAGUGCUUCUUCUUGAGUUUUGUUUGUGGUGUCAAGUGGUCUCUGUUCUAUUUGACUGACUAUGGGGUCAGCUUGCUGUAUUGCUGCAAGAGAAAAGGACCUGCCCAACAGAACUGGAGGUAACACUUUGCAUAGGAAUGUACAGAUGCUCUCCAACAUGGAGCUUCCGUUGGGAAAAUCGAAGGCGUGUGGCUGGUGAAAUUGAUGAUUCACCAUAUCAAACUUCUCAUAGAUUCAGCAGAGAUGUUAGUGCGGAGGUGAAGGGGCUGCUAGGCUCUGAUAGAGGUAAUCUUUCUGAUGAGGUUAGUCUGCAUGAGAGUUUUGGGACACCCGUCUCUAUAAAGUCUCCAGUACAUGAAGGAAUGGUAGCAAAUCCAAUUGCUCAACGUUCAGGCCUAUUAAUGGAAAGCAAUGACCCUGUACAUGGGAAGAACUCAGCAGAAUCUCCUGAUAUUGCAGAGCUACCUGCCUCAAAGCUUUCAUUUUCUGUACAUUCAUCAUUUUCAACACCGAAUGCUGAUCCUUUGCCCACCUGUGGUCAUCCACUUCCUCCAAACUCGACCCCCUCAAGACGGGCUAGGCAUUCACCUGGGCAUCGGCUAUU
This 699-nucleotide unclassified non-coding RNA is filed under the name Hevea brasiliensis (rubber tree). Lineage: Eukaryota; Viridiplantae; Streptophyta; Magnoliopsida; Malpighiales; Euphorbiaceae. The record is from RNAcentral.